GACAGAGGGGGCAAGCGUUGUCCGGACUGACUGGGCGUAAAGCGCGCGCAGGCGGUCUCGGGCGUCGGUGCGGAAAGUCCACCGCUUAACGGUGGGAUGCGUGCCGAUACGCCGAGACUGGAGGGUGGGCGAGGGUGGUGGAAUUGCCGGUGUAGUGGUGAAAUGCGUAGAGAUCGGCAGGAACACCCGUGGUGAAAACGGCCACCUAGCCCAUACCUGACGCUGAGGCGCGACAGCGUGGGGAGCGAACGGG
Molecule: ribosomal RNA, 253 nt
Filed under: uncultured bacterium
Lineage: Bacteria
Description: partial 16S ribosomal RNA
Rfam family: Bacterial small subunit ribosomal RNA
Source: RNAcentral